This is a long non-coding RNA of Phacochoerus africanus (Common warthog), 1189 nucleotides long. RefSeq lists it as uncharacterized. The record is from RefSeq and is a predicted model, not a curated record. The transcript is spliced from 5 exons. Lineage: Eukaryota; Metazoa; Chordata; Mammalia; Artiodactyla; Suidae.
UUGUUAAGGGCGCCUGAUGCUAGAAUUCACAGACAGGCUUUCUCUCUCUCUCUCUCUCUCUCCCGUGAAAGAAAGGGGGGACCAAAAGGAUCUUUCUCAGUUCUUUGCUGUGCCUUAUUGUGAGACCGGAACCCUGGGAAAGCAGAACGCUGCAAUUUUAAAGAGGUCCUUUCUCAUUUUUCUGCUGCCCUAGGAUAAUGAAACCUCUUACCUGGAUUCUGAACAUCUCAUAAAGGAAUUUUCAUUCCCAAACAUUUGUUAAAUUGGUGUUUCUGUGGGAGAGAAGGACUGGGACCUCCUAUUCUGCCACCUUUCUUAGGGUCAAAGCACAUGAGGACCCAAUUUCACCAUUUUAAAUGAAAGUGACACACUGCACCUCUCCGGACAAGCGGUCAAAAGAUUGAGAGGACGCUUAACACGGAACAUGGCACAAGACUAACAAAACCAAACUCCAUCAUCCGGCCACCAGGAGGCCUCUGACAUCAAGUGAUGCCUUGUAAAGGAAACUACAGUGUCAGAAGUUGUAAUACAUUGCUCUUAUGGAUCAGAAGACCAUGAAAUACCAUCAGGAGUGUGCGUCUCUCAUGAGGGCAGAUCCAUACCACACAGUCCCUAACAGAGGAUGGCUAGAAGGUUUACUCACUUAUUUUCCACAUCCUGGAUGGUGUCAGGCAGAGGAAGAUUUUUGGUUUCGGGUUGGAAAAAGACAACAAGACCAGCAAUGAUGGGACUCACUCCAUAGAUGAUCCAGGGCAAAACGGGUUGAUAUACCGCUAGGGUCAUCAAGAGAGGAGCCAGUGCUGCCCCAAAUCUACUAACCAUAAGCUCUAAUCCUGAAGCUUUUGCCCUGAAGAGUAAAUGACAAUACAUAAAGAUCCAGUAAAGAAUCACACAUAAUCCAUUAUUUUGACAUGAUUAUGGAACAUAAUACAACAGACGUAUUACACACAUGGGCUUGAUUUAAAAAAAAAAAAACACUUGUUUUUGAGAUGUGUUCUGUGAUUAUAGCUGGCUUUGUCAGGGGUAGAGUGUGUUAAGACUUAUUGUCAUCAUUUUAAACAGAAUGUUAUACAUUGCACCUAGAGUGGCAAGUGGUCCAAAAGGUUAAUGAGAUGAAGCAUGGAAGUACUCCUUAGUACAGUACAUGGCACCAAGUCAGCUUUUUCAAUAAACUUUGGGUUUAAAUGUU